ACCAUCCCCAUCUUCUUAAAAAGCCAGAGCCCCUUACAAAUUCCAAUUCCUGACGAAGGAGUCAGCAGUGGCCAUUACCAAACAAACUCUUUCGACUUCAAAAUUUCGGUUCCAAACUCCUUUUUGAUUCCUCAUCACGGAUCCAACGCUCGUUUUUCACAAAUCUACCUCUAUAUUUUUAGAUCUGAACUUGAAAUCCAAAGCUUCGAAUUGCCUUUUAGCCUCCACCACUGUUUGAUCUUUCUGAUUUUUUAGUAUGUUUCUACUCCGUCUUCGAUCUCCAUCUUCAACGAUUCAGAUCAUCCCAUGGUGUCCCAGGGAGUUGCACAGCACUAGGUCGAGGACUGUGAUUUUUUUUUUUUUUUGGAUCUGUUGCUUUUUGUUUUUUCGCGAUUUUGGCCUUUCAGGGGCUGAAGGGUCUUUUAGUAGCUUAGGCCUUUAGUUUCUUUCUCUCUUUCUUUUUUUUUUUUUUUGUCUAUGGCUGUGGAGUGCUGUUGAAGGUUUCGAUUUGGUUGAAAUGGUGGUUUGGGGAUGGUGAGGUUUGGUGCGUGGUGGCGAGGGUGUAACGUCUGGGUAAGGAGUGCAGAGGCUGGUCUAUGAGAGAGGCUGGAGCGAUCGCUUGUGGGUGAAGGGUGCGGGCGCCAAGACGUGGGGCUUACGCUAGGUGGUUCUAGGAUGCAGGUUUGGCUGGGUACGUGCACAUGGGGGUUUGGAGGUGGCGGGCCGAGGGGUGUCUGGGUGUAUUGAUGGGGCCUCUAGGGAGCUGGGUGUAAGGGUCUAGCAGGAAUGCUUGUAGGCACGGUACUGGUUGUGUCAAGGCCUUUGGUGCAGCUGAGGCUGGGCUAGUUUGUGAAGGCUAAAGCUUUUUGGGAAAGGAAAAACUAGCUGGGGACUUAGCCCCUUGUGGCGUGGAGUGGGCAGAGAAUGGGGAGUGUAUGGCAUUGGCUUGGCGCGCAGGUCUGAAUGGAGCAGAAGAGGUCUCUGACAUUGCCGGCCACAACCCUUUGUUUAAUUCUAUUUUUCU
Molecule: long non-coding RNA, 1024 nt
Organism: Durio zibethinus
Lineage: Eukaryota; Viridiplantae; Streptophyta; Magnoliopsida; Malvales; Malvaceae
Source: RefSeq, a predicted model, not a curated record